AGAAGUGUUGGGGUUUUCUGCUCCCAGAACUUCAUUGUUAAAGAAAGGAGGAGGAAUUUGUCCUUCCCUCCACUUGGCAAGCAAUGCGCAUGUUCCUUUCUGUAAACAGCAGACUAAUUUGAGCAGUGAGCAGCCCCCACUGGCUUCUGGCUUUUACUAACUGUAGGCUGAGGGCUCAGUGCAACAAAAACUUGAGUUGCCCACAGAACAGCUACUCUGAUUCAGAUGAAAGCUGGGGAGGACUUCGGUCCUUCUUGGAAAAUACUUGUGCUUUUUUGUUGAUUGUUCUUGUUCCCAACAGAGACAGAAGUGAACUAAUCUCCCAAACUGGGAUGCUCAGAGAUGUCCAAAGUGAGAUAGGACUGGCAAGAAUACAAUACACAGAUUAAUAAGGAAGUCAUUAAGGGAUAGAAAAGCUCUGAUGUGAUGGAGUGGCUUUUAGUUUGAAGAAAAAUAGAAUGUCUUGCUCCUGAGUACCCUGAACAAUGAAGAUGAAGAUACCUGUUCCAGAAAGUAGACUUGGACCCCCAAGUUGUUUCAUACUUAGGUCCUGGGAAAUUAACUGCAAGGAGCCACUGUAAGGUGCUAGACCUGAAGUUCCCAUCCUGUGGUCCAAGAAAAGCUGGCACAUCACAUGCAACAAAAUGGAUAGAGGAUGCUGCCUUUUGCAUGCCAUGUGAAGAAGCCAGAGACAGAAUGGAACGGAAAUCUGAGAACAGAUUUGGAGUGGCAGAGUUGCACAUGAAGCAUGUAGGAUGAGGUGCCACGUGGCAACAGCUUUCUCUUCUGGCUGUGCUGAGGAGCUCUCAGCACACUGUACUCCCACCUGCCAUUGCAGCAGCUCAUGUGUGGAGGCACCUCUGGAGAACACCAGGUCCAAACCCCAGCCCAAAGCAGCGCCUCCUGGAACUACACAGGGCCAUGGCUGAGUGAGAUCACAAUGGUGGCUGAGAAAUCUUUGUUGCUCCCUUUUCUCCCAUCAGCAACACUCAUAUCCAGGCUGAAUAAAUCCUUCAACAGCAUUCUUUGCUUGUGGCCGUUUGAUGUGCUUCCAAGCAGCUACAAACAUGGGAGACACCCAAACUGCUUAGUGCCAGAAAGGCUGAAACUGCACUGCCAUGGGAGCCUGAACGGCAGAGGGGCCACCUGGCAGUGCCCUGCAGGACCCAAGGUGCUCACCCACCCACUACGCAAGAAGCUCCUCAUGUCCUUCCGCUCUGCGGUGGGCAGCACCUGGAGUGCCUUUCCUAGCUCUGAUUCUAUUCUUCUGCUCCAAAGCAACAAGCCAAACUCCCCACCAGCAUUCAACCUCCGUGCCAAAAAGAAAAUAACAAGAGUAAAAGCACUGCACAACAGAAACACAUAGGACAGUGAAGAGGCUGGGAUUGCUGGGGAGUCCAGCAUAGUCGCGUCGGGGUGCUCAGGUCGGUGCUGCUGCAGCAUUCAUCCAGGCCAAUGGGGAAGGUAGGUGGUUGGUGGCUGUGAGCACCUCCCCUGGAUGGAAAAUGACACCUCUGCACAGCUCUGGACAUUUCUGAAUGCCACAGGAGGUUGGGGAGACCAGCCCAGCUGGAAAGAGGGUAGACAUGCUCCAGCAUCAAUGCCAUCAGCUCUGACAAGGUCCUGGCUGGCUGCAGCACGCUGAUGUCCUCAUAAACCAAGGCUCUCUCUCUGAUGGCUGUGCAAACGAGAAGCUGGGCUUAACUGGAGCACAGUGCUGUUGCUGGCUUUAACUCUCCAAUGAACUCUCCAAUUCCCAUUUUCCCAGGGCAGUUCAGCGCCAGGGUAAAUCAGUGCAUGUGUGCAGCCCUGCUGCCAGCUGGCUGCUCCUGCCUGCAGCGGUGUCUGGUCACAGCUCUGGGGAUGUGCCCUGCAAGUCCCCCCUUGGCAGCACCUCCUGCCUGCCACGCUCACUUCCUUCAGCCUUUGCCUUUCUCCCUGCUCUGGUCCUCUGACUUCAGAACAUGGCUUUCUGUUUUAGUUCACUUCUGUAUUUAUACUGGGCCAAACUGACUGGAUACUUUCUGAACAGGGUGACCUAGGAGUUUUGAACAGACCAUCUUGUCAAAAGUUCUGUUAUUUCCCUUACCAAUGUGGUUUGAUUUGUUUUAUUUUCUUUUUUCUUGGUAAAACUGUCAAUAGGAACCACUUUUUGAAAGUCAGAAGAUGCAAAGCAGACCUUCCACAAGGAUUCCCCAAGGAGCAGAGAAUUUGAGGAUCACUGCGAAGGGCAUCAUUGCUCCUUGCUGUUCAUCCCAAACUGUCUUCAUUCUCUCACCCUGUGUAUUCCUGCACAACGGGACUGAGGGAAGUGCAUGAGAUCUAUUGCUGAACUGUGGUGUGGAUAGACUUUGUCUUCCUCAGCUAGCAUUCUGUCACCUUUCAAGAGUGAAAAAUUCAUUUUUAAAACAAAAAUCCCAAGUAAGAAACCUCACAUAGUUGCAGGAAACCACCACAGAGGUAUACAAUAUCCAGCGGAAGACCUUGCUGAAAACUGAACAGAUUACUCUUGUUAUAUGUGGUUAAACUGGGCCAUUAAUGCUAAAACAGUUCAAAGCACAAAAUAAAUUCUGAUUUUCUCCUGUCAAAGUUGGUGGUUUGGUGUUCACACAUUCUAGGCUCCGGUUAAAUGAUUUACUGUACAAUUUAAUGCCUUUCAGCUGUCACUCGCAAAAAGGAUCCCUUGAAUGAUCUGCCAGUGAAUGAAGGCAGCACUUGCCCAGGGUGAAGUGUGGCCAGGGCUGCAGGACCCAACUUGCCAAGAUACUCAGGAACAAUCACGUAAGCCACUGUGACCCAUGUGUGGUACCCAGCGAAGUGAAGGCCACCUUGCUGUGAUCACAUCUGCAAAACCACUUCAUUUAAAGCAUACUGAGACGUUCACUCUGCUGUGGAACUUUUACGAGCAACUGCCUUUACAACAGCUCGCACCAUAGGCACGCUGCUAUUCUUUGUCCUUCUUUUGAACUCUUCUCUGCUCCCGGUCUUCCAGCGGUGUGAUUUUUUGAAGUUUUCCUUCACAAUAGCUUCUCAAAAUCCCAGUUCUCACAUAUCAACACAAAUAGGAGAAACAGUUGCCAUGGGACAGUGAAAAACAUAUUUCAGGAGCUCAGGAGCAAAGAAGGAAAUAAAAAAGGCACUGGAUUUCAGCAGUUACGUGUUGUAGUGUUUGACGUAGCUCUGAGUUCUUUGCUUUGUCUCUAGCUGCAGUGGUACUGUGCCUCUCAUGUUCAGCAGUGGGUGCACUCAGCAGUGGGUGCAGCUCUUAGCAGUGACCUCAUGGGGACACAGCAGUGCCCAGCACUGCAGCCAUGUUCUGUGGAACAGAGAGAAUACUGGUGUCACCUAAAACU
This is a long non-coding RNA of Gallus gallus (chicken), 3353 nucleotides long. The record is from Ensembl. NCBI's taxonomy places the organism in Eukaryota, Metazoa, Chordata, Aves, Galliformes, Phasianidae.